Molecule: ribosomal RNA, 253 nt
Filed under: uncultured prokaryote
Description: partial 16S ribosomal RNA
Rfam family: Bacterial small subunit ribosomal RNA
Source: RNAcentral
ACGUAGGUUCCGAGCGUUAUCCGGAUUUACUGGGCGUAAAGCGUGUUCAGGCGGCUUAGCAAGUCGGGCAUGAAAUCUCUCGGCUCAACCGGGAGGGGCUGUCCGAUACUGCUGGGCUUGAGGGCAGUAGAGGGUGGUGGAAUUCCGGGUGUAGUGGUGAAAUGCGUAGAUAUCCGGAGGAACACCAGUGGCGAAAGCGGCCACCUGGACUGUACCUGACGCUCAAACACGAAAGCUAGGGGAGCGAACGGGA